UAGCAAUACGAUGGAAAGUCUAGUGGCGAACGGGUGCUUAACACGUGGGCAACCUGCCAGGAAGUGGGGGAUAGCUCGCCGAAAGGCGAAUUAAUACCGCAUGUGAUUAGAGAGGACAUCCUUUCGAAAUUAAAGUCGGGGCAACCUGACGCUUCUUGUGGGGCCCGCGGCCUAUCGGCUAGUUGGUGUGGUAAAGGCUCACCAAGGCUUUGACGGGUAGCUGGUCUGAGAGGACGACCAGCCACACUGGGACUGAGACACGGCCCAGACACCUACGGGUGGCAGCAGUCGAGAAUUUUUGACAAUGGGGGAAACCCUGAUCGAGCGACGCCGCGUGGAGGAUGAAGGUCUUCGGAUUGUAAACUCCUGUCAUUGGCGAACAAGGUGCAUACGUUAACUGCGUGCGCAUUGAUAGUACCCGAAGAGGAAGAGACGGCUAACUCUGUGCCAGCAGCCGCGGUAAUACAGAGGUCUCAAGCGUUGUUCGGAUUCAUUGGGCGUAAAGGGUGCGUAGGCGGCGCGGUAAGUCGGGUGUGAAAUCUCGGAGCUUAACUCCGAAACUGCAUUCGAUACUGCCGUGCUUGAGGACUGGAGAGGAGACUGGAAUUCACGGUGUAGCA
RNAcentral lists this ribosomal RNA (620 nucleotides) under uncultured Verrucomicrobiota bacterium. RNAcentral describes it as "bacterial SSU rRNA". It matches the Rfam family "Bacterial small subunit ribosomal RNA", at positions 77 to 680 of the family's 1533-position model. Lineage: Bacteria; Pseudomonadati; Verrucomicrobiota. The record is from RNAcentral.